This 805-nucleotide ribosomal RNA is filed under the name Mycena alnetorum. RNAcentral's name for it is "eukaryotic LSU rRNA". The stretch from base 291 to 444 matches the Rfam family "5.8S ribosomal RNA". The record is from RNAcentral. Lineage: Eukaryota; Fungi; Basidiomycota; Agaricomycetes; Agaricales; Mycenaceae.
GAGGAAGUAAAAAGUCGUAACAAGGUUUCCGUAGGUGAACCUGCGGAAGGAUCAUUAUUGAAUACGAUUGGUACUGAUGCUGGCUCUUAACUGAGCAUGUGCUCGUCCAUCUAUUUAUCUUCUCUUGUGCACAUUUUGUAGUCUUGAACGUACCUCUCGCAGUCAAAUGCGGUUUGGGAGCUUGGGCGCAAGCCCUUCUCCUGCUUCUUCAAGGCUAUGUUUUCAUAUACACUAUAAAGUUACAGAAUGUCUUUUAACGAUUGCGCUUGUCGUAGUCAUUAAACCUAUACAACUUUCAGCAACGGAUCUCUUGGCUCUCCUAUCGAUGAAGAACGCAGCGAAAUGCGAUAAGUAAUGUGAAUUGCAGAAUUCAGUGAAUCAUCGAAUCUUUGAACGCACCUUGCGCCCUUUGGUAUUCCGAAGGGCAUGCCUGUUUGAGUGUCAUUAAAUUAUCAACCUUGCUCGCUUUUACCGGCUUGAGUUAGGCUUGGAUGUGAGGGCUUGCUGGCUUCCUUCAGUGGAUGGUCUGCUCCCUUUAAAUGCAUUAGUGGGAUCUCUUGUGGACCGUCACUUGGUGUGAUAAUUAUCUAUGCCAUUUGACUUUGAAGCAAAACUUAUGGGAACCCGCUCAUAACCGUCUUCGGACAACUUUUGACAUUUUGACCUCAAAUCAGGUAGGACUACCCGCUGAACUUAAGCAUAUCAAUAAGCGGAGGAAAAGAAACUAACAAGGAUUCCCCUAGUAACUGCGAGUGAAGCGGGAAAAGCUCAAAUUUAAAAUCUGGCGGUUCUUGUAGCCGUCCGA